GACGAACGCUGACAGAAUGCUUAACACAUGCAAGUCAACUUGAACUUCGGUUUGGGUGGCGGACGGGUGAGUAACGCGUAAAGAACUUGCCUCACAGAUAGGGACAACAUUUGGAAACGAAUGCUAAUACCUGAUAUUAUGAUUAUAUGGCAUCGUAUAAUUAUGAAAGCUAUAUGCGCUGUGAGAGAGCUUUGCGUCCCAUUAGCUAGUUGGAGAGGUAACGGCUCACCAAGGCGAUGAUGGGUAGCCGGCCUGAGAGGGUGAUCGGCCACAAGGGGACUGAGACACGGCCCUUACUCCUACGGGAGGCAGCAGUGGGGAAUAUUGGACAAUGGACCAAGAGUCUGAUCCAGCAAUUCUGUGUGCACGAUGAAGUUUUUCGGAAUGUAAAGUGCUUUCAGUUGGGAAGAAAAAAAUGACGGUACCAACAGAAGAAGUGACGGCUAAAUACGUG
RNAcentral lists this ribosomal RNA (454 nucleotides) under uncultured bacterium. Its description in RNAcentral is "partial 16S ribosomal RNA". It matches the Rfam family "Bacterial small subunit ribosomal RNA", at positions 28 to 507 of the family's 1533-position model. The record is from RNAcentral.